AGUCCCCCGCCCCCUUUUCUGCGCCUGCGCAAUCCCGCCUCUGCCUUGACGUCAGGGCCCGCCCGGCCACGUGAUGUCAACACAACAAGCGAGGGGGUGGGGCGGGGGCGUUCCUAGGCGGGCCCGGGACUGGGAGACGCGGGAGUCACGCUGACGCGCGCCCCAGCAAGUAGAGGGGCGGCUGGCAGCAUUAUCAGGCACGAGGACCCUGGUUCCAGCUCCUGACUUUUCACCUGCAACAGGGAAGUUUCAUGAGCAGUGAAGCAGAUCUACAGCAAUGAGCAUGCUGAGAUUUUAAUGAAGAAAGAGGCUGGGAGGUAGCACAUUGGGAUGAACCACCUUAAGGAUCAAGCCCUGCGUCAGAUCAACAUGCUAAAUAGCUACUUGUAUUUAUAUAUUUUCUUCACAUUUGGGAGCUACU
Erinaceus europaeus (western European hedgehog) is the source of this 421-nucleotide long non-coding RNA. RefSeq lists it as uncharacterized. Lineage: Eukaryota; Metazoa; Chordata; Mammalia; Eulipotyphla; Erinaceidae. The transcript is spliced from 3 exons. The record is from RefSeq and is a predicted model, not a curated record.